CACUCCUACGGGAGGCAGCAGUGGGGAAUAUUGCACAAUGGGCGCAAGCCUGAUGCAGCCAUGCCGCGUGUAUGAAGAAGGCCUUCGGGUUGUAAAGUACUUUCAGCGGGGAGGAAGGCAAUACGGUUAAUAACCGUGUUGAUUGACGUUACCCGCAGAAGAAGCACCGGCUAACUCCGUGCCAGCAGCCGCGGUAACACGGAGGGUGCAAGCGUUAAUCGGAAUUACUGGGCGUAAAGCGCACGCAGGCGGUCUGUCAAGUCGGAUGUGAAAUCCCCGGGCUCAACCUGGGAACUGCAUUCGAAACUGGCAGGCUUGAGUCUUGUAGAGGGGGGUAGAAUUCCAGGUGUAGCGGUGAAAUGCGUAGAGAUCUGGAGGAAUACCGGUGGCGAAGGCGGCCCCCUGGACAAAGACUGACGCUCAGGUGCGAAAGCGUGGGGAGCAAACAGGAUUAGAAACCCGGGUAGUCCCAU
RNAcentral lists this ribosomal RNA (473 nucleotides) under uncultured organism. RNAcentral describes it as "partial 16S ribosomal RNA". It matches the Rfam family "Bacterial small subunit ribosomal RNA", at positions 334 to 798 of the family's 1533-position model. The record is from RNAcentral.